GAUGAACGCUGGCGGCGUGCCUAAUACAUGCAAGUCGAGCGAACAGACGAGGAGCUUGCUCCUCUGACGUUAGCGGCGGACGGGUGAGUAACACGUGGAUAACCUACCUAUAAGACUGGGAUAACUUCGGGAAACCGGAGCUAAUACCGGAUAAUAUAUUGAACCGCAUGGUUCAAUAGUGAAAGACGGUUUUGCUGUCACUUAUAGAUGGAUCCGCGCCGCAUGAGCUAGUUGGUAAGGUAACGGCUUACCAAGGCAACGAUGCGUAGCCGACCUGAGAGGGUGAUCGGCCACACUGGAACUGAGACACGCUCCAGACUCCUACGGGAGGCAGCAGUAGGGAAUCGUCCGCAAUGGGCGAAAGCUUGACGGAGCAACGCCGCGUGAGUGAUGAAGGUCUUCGGAUCGUAAAACUCUGUUAUUAGGGAAGAACAAAUGUGUAAGUAACUAUGCACGUCUUGACGGUACCUAAUCAGAAAGCCACGGCUAACUACGUG
RNAcentral lists this ribosomal RNA (497 nucleotides) under uncultured bacterium. RNAcentral describes it as "partial 16S ribosomal RNA". It matches the Rfam family "Bacterial small subunit ribosomal RNA", at positions 28 to 507 of the family's 1533-position model. The record is from RNAcentral.